Molecule: long non-coding RNA, 251 nt
Filed under: Fukomys damarensis (Damara mole-rat)
Lineage: Eukaryota; Metazoa; Chordata; Mammalia; Rodentia; Bathyergidae
Description: lncRNA (ENSFDAG00000027504.1)
Source: RNAcentral
GCCACAAUGACUAGAUGUGUACUUGAGAACCCAGUACAUAGUUGAUCAAUGAACAAAACAGGAGGUAGAGAUUAUUCUGUGCACCUAGACCCGAAGAUCCAAAUAGAAGUCCAUUGAAAGAUUUAAGCUCUCCAGUGCUAUGAAACCUGCAGACACAGAAGUUCAUGAUUUAUGUACUCAAUGCAUACUGAAAAUAAAACAAAACAAAAUUAACAAAAGUUAUCAUCAGUCACUGAAGAACAAAAUCAAAG